GAGGAAGUUGUUGUUGAGGCUGAGGAAGUAACUGGUAUUCAGGUUGAUGAAGAUGAUGUUCAGAGGACAGAGGCAGCUGAAGUUGAACUUCAGACUCCUAGUAUUGAGGUUAAUAGGGCAGAGGAAGUAUAUGGUAUUCAGGUUGAUAGGGCAGAGGAAGUACAUGGUAUUGAGGUUCAGGCUGAUAGUGUUGAGGUUGAUAGGGUAGAAGCAU
RNAcentral lists this long non-coding RNA (214 nucleotides) under Vigna radiata. Its description in RNAcentral is "long non-coding RNA (VRAD_LNC012180)". Lineage: Eukaryota; Viridiplantae; Streptophyta; Magnoliopsida; Fabales; Fabaceae. The record is from RNAcentral.